UGGGGUGGUUGUUUGCUGUCCAGUGCCCGAUUCCUCUUUGGAUGCUGAAGUUGGAGGACCAACACGAGUUCCCCCUAUUAAAUGGAGAAUAUCGAUCGAAGAGGGAGAUCGAUCGAUUGGCUUGAGUUCAUCCAUCUGCUGGUUGAUAGGGAUUGGGAUUGACAGUAGUGAUACGGACAUCGAAAGGCUUCCUGCAGGGUCUUGUUUGGAGGGUCAAUAUUAUAGAGGCUAACCUCCUAGAAAUGAUUAGUUGUAAUAGUAAAAAUCUCUUAGUUUGAUUAGGAGUAAGGAUUGGCCAAGAAUCUCAGAGAAUAGUUGUGCCUUUUCAGGUUCAACACUCGGUGCUCGAAAGUUACUCAAGGGGAUCGAUCACUGUGUGAUCCGAUGAGGCAUGGGAAUAUGUGACUAGAUUAGGGUAAUUGGUGCCGCCACUUUAGCAAAAGUUCUUCUAAGAGAGGAUUGAGGUUGAAGAUCAAAAGAUAAAGGAUCAUUAUGAUUGUACCAUAUCGCAUAGAGCUGUAUGAGGUAUUUAAAUAUCUUGGAUAGCAGCCAUAAAUUGGCUCGAUGAAUGGUUAGCUGUGAAAGAGAUAG
This 591-nucleotide long non-coding RNA is filed under the name Elaeis guineensis (African oil palm). RNAcentral describes it as "long non-coding RNA (EGUI_LNC034921)". Lineage: Eukaryota; Viridiplantae; Streptophyta; Magnoliopsida; Arecales; Arecaceae. The record is from RNAcentral.